RNAcentral lists this long non-coding RNA (7768 nucleotides) under Pomacea canaliculata. Its description in RNAcentral is "uncharacterized LOC112572472". The record is from RNAcentral. Lineage: Eukaryota; Metazoa; Mollusca; Gastropoda; Architaenioglossa; Ampullariidae.
UGAACCCACCUUCUUCCUGUGCCACUUCAUUGCCUCCUUCCCCACCUAAACAACGUGGAGAUCUUCUUCUUCUUCUUUUUCUUCCUCCAUCAUAUCAUGCUUUCUCUGUUUCAGCUCGCGCAUUACGCCGCGCGCACGUUACCGUUGCGCUGAUAUUUGGCCUGCAAGGGGAGACGACUCAGGAAUGCCGCGCGGCGAGCAGGAUGGCGGAAAAAAACUCGAUUUGACAAGGAUGCUAGUCGCUGUAGCAAGUUUAAUCUCGGACCAGCCCCCUCUCGCAUGUCCUGGCUGGGCCUGGUACUUGUCGGAGACUUGGGAGCUGGCUUAGCGGCGCUGGGGUGUGGGGGAUGUGUGAUAGUCGGGAUUAAAACCAGUCAUGCAAAUGAAUGUGCGAGACGAAAUUCCUUCCUUCCAUCACUGCCUUCUCCUGUUCUUCUUUAUACGACUGCUUGCUGACACUGGCGCCGUCUGGAGUUGUCGGCGCUUGCUGGCGCUGCUGUGUCUUGCACCAGACUUGUGCACUUGGCGCCGUGACAGGGAGACCAUAUGGAGGAGGAGCCUUUUAUUCUAAUGUGAUGCAAGGCAUUGCCACUCUACCUGUGGUGCACAUUGGAAAUGCAACAACAAUGUAUUUCUCCACGAACUUCUUGAAGUUAAAAGUAACUGCAAAAGAAGGGAGACCAUAAAGCACGACGAAGAACUACUUAAUGUCAUCACCAAGCCAAACCUCGCCAUGGAGCAAUACAAUGGAGUAGGGCAGGCUGGAGGGAUGGAGGAAGGACAACCGAGGAAAGUAGAGGGGGAGGGUGAGAAUGGGCUCUCGACAAUCGCGGCUCCAGGGAGAGAACAAGAAAGUGCAAUUUGGCGCGUGCGCACUGGUCGGAGGGAAGUUGAUGGCACCCGGCUCUCCUCCGGCACUCGGAGCACCAUUAGCGGCCUUGGGACCUCGUGAUGCUCGCUGGUUCCUCAGAUAGAAAUCUGGCCGAGGUCAAAGAAGUGCUGGGUGACAACUCUUCCUCAUACAGUUUGCUCCCCUUUGCAUUCCUUUCAUUCCACUCCCUCCCACUGGCUUUCUUUUCUUUUAAUCCCUUCCUGUCACAUUCUUUAUCCUUCUGUCUCACUGUUUUAUUCUUCCUUGGUUUUAGGGUCUUUUUUUAUAUUCAACGCCUCUUACAUUCUGAUCUUUCUUGCGUUCUGCUUUCUUCAAAAAUUAACAGAUCGAUACCAUUCCUUUCUUUAUUCUUAAAAGAUUUAAGAAACGUGGAGAUUCAGAACCACCUGCUAGCGCUCGACAAAAAAAAGUACAAUCUGUUGAUUACAAUUUUUCCAUGGCAACAUUCCAAAACAUUCCAUGGAAAUCUUUGUUGACGUCAGACCUGUUCCGCUCACGUCUGCGAAACAUGGUUUGUUUCUUGAGUGAGUGGUCACAAAAGUGCCAUCUAAAUAAAGUCUUUUUUCUGUCUUUUAUUUCUUUCUUCUGUCUUCCAGUCUCUCUGUAUUUUUUUCCAUUUUUGUUGUUUUUGUCUUUCUUUCUUAUUCUUACUUUAAUUUCCUUUAUUUAUCUUUCUUUACGUGUUUUUCCAUUUCUCUGUUCUUUCUUUUUUAUAUUAUUCAAAAUUCUUCAAAAUGUCGGGAAAUAGGAAAAGGUAUUAAAGGAAAACUGCGACCAUCCGGGUACCGAAGUGACGCGCGUUGCACUCACCCCUGCACGUGACAAGGGCACGUGACAAGAUCUGCUCGUGGGUGAGAGGAGUCAGCGAGGGGCAGUGAUGAUGUGUGUAAAUAUUUCAUGCUGCGGCGCGAGAAAUUUUCACUUGUUUCAUGUCUUGAUCCCAUUUAGCUUCUUCAAAUUCUCUUUGUACCUCACUUCUUGUGUUUCUCUGUCCGCUUGUCUGCUUGUCUGUCUCUCCCUCUUCUGCCGCUACCUCUAGCUCUCCCCCUCCAAUUAUGCAUGUUUAUUAUUUUUAACUUAAAGGCACUUAAUAAAUUAGUCAAGCAGUCAAGAAGAAGGCACUUCAAUCGUCCGUGCUCAUUCCCUACAUCAAAGCAGACGACGGGAGGAGAGGCGCUAAGGACAAGUUAAGAGGAAUGAGAAGAAAUAAGACAAUGCUGACAGAAAAACUGAGAAAUGAGGGAAUAGGAACAAGGUUAAAAAUAAUUAUGUGUCAAAAGCGCAGGCUGGAGUCAUGUAACCGCAAAUAUUUCCAAUAUUAUUUGUUAUUUUUCUUUUUCCAUCACAAGAUACAACGUUUAAAGCUCAGUUCGAGAAGAAGUGUAAUUUAAUAUGUGAAUCUUGUCUUUAUUUAUCCGGAAGAAUGCAAUAUGUUAGAGUGGAGUGGGAUACCCAAAUACGUUUGAAUAGUUGUUUUUACAUUGUGUGUGUGCGUGUGUGUGCUUCACUGAAUUUUUUUUUUUUUUUUUUUUUUUUUUUUUUUUUUGUUAUUUACUUUAUUUCACAAGUUUAUUUCCAAUUUUACUUUCGACAUUUUACAAAACUCUACAUUUCCGUCCUAUGUAGCUACAGCGCCAUCAAACGCAUAAACAGGGUGUGCUUAUUUAUUUUUUUAUUAUUAUUAUUAUUUUUUUUUUUUUGGUAACCACUCGUAGUUAUCGCACCCAGUCCUUCUUAUGUCAUCUGCUCUCGGACAAUGGCCCUAAAAACACUUCCUGUGGUAGAGUCUGCCCUCUUUUAUCGUUUCGUCACCUCCUCUCACUCCAUCCAGACUUCUGUUGAGGCACGUGAGGUCACUGUGGCCAUGACCCUGGGCGGCAGCUGUGAGAGGCUGGGAGGACACCAGUAGCUGCAGAAACAUGGCACAUGGCCCCGUCUUCUUCCAAUUAAUUCUGCUUUUGAAGGGCAUGCCUCCCGCGGGAGGAGGGCUACACGAUUUCGCUACAAAUCCAAUCAUGGAAAACAGAGGGUGGAGGCAGGGACCUCCAGGAGAUAGCAUGGAACCCACGGGCCCAGACUCUAAGCAGGUCACUUCUGGAAUUUCUCAGAGCAACACCUAGGGACUUCAAUCAACAAAAUUGCAAAUAUUAUGUGAAAAUUACAGAUAAUUGUGGAUUCUUUGGACUUUCUUGCGCCCACUUCGACAUCCAUCUUCUCAUCAGCGUACAUCUGUGAAGCAGUGAAACGAAGUUUAUUUUGCUUGGAAUGAGUGACAGAUGCUACUUUAUUGAUAUUAAUUUCUCAAUUUUCUUGAAAAAUCUUUGUAGCUCAUAUAUUAUCCUACAGUUUAUUUGCAAAAAAUAGCAUUGUCAUGUUAUGGUGGACCUGUCUGUCUGUCACCUGCUCACAAGGCUCUGAGCAUCCAACAGUUCCUGACCGAGAAGAUCAUCGCCGACAACCUCCCUGUUCACCUAACCAUGCUCCGUGUGAAUUUUUUGUUUUCUCCAAGCUGAAGGGGAUCAUCAAGGGAACCUGUUUUGAAAGAGUGGAGGCCAUCAACCGUACCGACGGAGCUGAGGGGCAUCCCAGAAGAAUCCUUCCAGCAGUGCAUGGCAGAAGAGAAUGGGAAAGUGCACAAGACUGUGUGGAUUACAUUCAAGGGAAACUAUGUGGUUUUUGUUUGAAAUUUAAAUAAAUUGUUUGUGACAUCAGUCCCGUUACUUCAAACCCUCCAGGUACAGAGUCUUUCUCCUGUAUCAACUGGAUUCGAAGCUUUUUACUUAUAUAUACUUUUGUAGGGCAGGCAUGAAAUGCACCUUCAUGAACACGCAUACAUGCAGACACAAUGAACAGCAAAAUAUAAAUAAAGUUGAUUGAGGGAGUGUUUUACCCAACAUCAAAGAUAGGCUCAAAGCGAUUCACAAAAAACAACAAAAAGACAGACACACAAUGAUCAUGGAUGAUAGUUUCUGAACAAAGAGACCCUGGUGUGCCCCUGUAGUGCAUCCUCUCAUGUGAAGAAGAUGAAGACCAUCAGCACAGAGGCCUCCAUUGCAUGGAAUAUUCGAUAAAAUGUUUUGCUUCGAAAAGUAGCUGAAAAGUUAUUGUGUAGCCUGCAUGGAAGCCCCAAUCAUAAUUUUCAUGCCUCGGCAGUCAUCUCAAAGUGAUAGCAAAUACUGAAAUAAAAUUUUACCCCCGAAUCUCGAGAGAAAGAGAGAUGGCAUGAGACAAGAAAAGUGGUGUUUAGUGAGAUGUGUAAUUGCAUGAGAUAACAGUAAUGGGUGAAAGGACACAAAUAAGACAGUCUCAACAAGGUGCAAAGACAGAGAUCAAUAUUUGAGAGACAGGCAACAGUUUUAACGGAAACUGCAGAGAGAAACUUUCCACCUUUCACUAAAGAAGAAAAAUCUUAAGUCCUUUGCACCUUGAACAAACAGGUCUUAUAAAGGUUAUUUCUGAAGAGACCUUCUUCAGUCUUUUGGCUAACUCUCUUUGCUGGAUGAUUCAACCCUGUAUUGUCAUCAGGGAUAUCUAUGUAUAAAGAGAGUUAGUUUCCAAUAACAACAGACAAAAUUGAUGUAAUAAGGAACCUAUCUAACGAUUGAUUCAUUGGCCAUUAAAAAGAUUUCUCGAGGCAAGUUUGUUAUUUAAUUACAUUUUGCUUGCGAGAUUAAUUUUUUUUAUUAAACUUUUCCUCAUCACAGAAUCGGUCUGGCACUGGGCAAAGCUAUUGAGAGAUGAUGAGAGCUCUUUCGAGAGGCGGCCAUUCCGUCAUCAUUUUUUCCCCAAUUCUAGACCUCCUCCUGAGAUAAAAGUGUCCUAACGGUUUCCAUUUCAGGUAAAUGGAUUUCUAGUUCGUCUGGGACUUAAGUUUAUUCAGUUUAUACUGCUCUAACUGCAGUCUACCUCGUUUCCUUGAUGCUUGCGAGUCUCCGCUGUCUACAGUUUGUAUUGACAUCCGGGUAUUUGCCAGACACCUAACUUCUAUACCUCCGUGACUUGAAAACUUUGUUUUCCUUUUCUCCUAUUUUUAUUCAAGAUAAUCGAUUAGACGUUAGUUGGAAGGAGAAGGUUAAAUGAUAAAACAUUGUGAUGAUUGUUCACGGAACUACUUUUUAGCGAUUUGAACAAGGUAAAGUAGUACCACGAGUAGCAAUAGCUAUGUGUACGUUGGCCGCAAUUUAGCUACAAGCAGGUCUAGCUACAUAGCUACAUCUUAGCUACUGUCGUCAGUGCAGGCAGACGCACACUCACAAUGACUACAAGUAUGUCUAUGUAAGUAGCCCUGUGAUGACAGCGUCACCUGGGGAAAACCUCUGGCAAAAACACAACGUGGUUUCCAGCAGCCGUUGCUAUGACAACCAGACAGUCAGACAAACAAAGGGGUCUGCGACCAAACGGCAGCAACGGCCGUUAAACUUUAAUGGCCCAGUGGUCCAGUGUGAUGAGGGGCGCGGGCCCCCAGGUGGGGAAUAUUGGGCUAGUAACUUAUCAGCUACCCCGAUCGAAACUCGAUUCCGGGUACUUGAUAAAAUGAGCGCAAAUGAAUGUUUCACCGGCCGCAGACGAUCUCUUACCACUUGGUGGUGUCCAGAAGAUUGGGUUCGGACAUUAGCGCUUGAGUAGGAGAAACGGGUGGCAGGGUGGGUCUGUGGACGGGUGGAGGUGGUCGUAAGAAGUUGUAGAGAACGAUGAUCACAAUCCGCCGCAGUGACGACAGUGGGUCACGCCCAUUGUUACUGUCGUAAGGUCAGACCCACCCCUGGGGUCAGAACAGUCUUGUGUACAGAGUUCAAGUUAGAGAAGGGCUUUUCUUUCUUGCCGCUAGCUCAGGUACCCGAAAGAGUCAAUAAUCUGAGGUUUGACUUGUACCCCACUGUACAACAUCACCACCUACUCUCAUCCUAAAAUCUACUCACUUUAUGUGUGUUUUAUCAACAAAGAGCUCAGAAGAUUGUCCUCUCACCUUUGGAGGAAAUUUGAUGAAGCACCUCCGUGAUGUUGCUCGUGUCCCUGACACAAUCAGCAAUGCGCCAUCAUCUGAAGAUUUUGCAAGAUAACUUUUUAACCGGUUCUUCUACAGCUGUUGGUAGACAUGAUAUACAGCAAAAGUUACACACAGCAGUUCUGUGGAAAUCCAGUACUUGUAAUGACAAUUGGAAAGUAGCGACUGUUCACAGAGAUUCAAUAGCCACUGAGUAAUAUUUGUGUGGGAUACGGCAGUGGUAUGGCUGCGGAAUGCUUUUGCGUGGCAAAUACUCUUCUUUUCUUUUCUCUUCUCUCUUAAUGUAUUUUCUACAUUAUUAUUUGUUUGUAUCGGUUAUUUUAAUUGGAAGCAAUCUCUGCAUUUCUCAACAGCAGAUGUUAAGUUAGCAAAGGGACCAUCCAACGCCAUAGUUCUUAUGUUUAAAUAUAGAGGGAGAUACAGGAUAUGGAUAUCUGGCAAGUACCAGAACCUUCUGACCACAGUGAAAACAGAGAUGACGUGUCAUCGGUACACCUCAAACAUGACUUGCAGGGAGGACUCUACAUGGAACAGCAAAGGGAGAGGAAGUAGAAUAUGAGGCAGACAACCGCUCAAGACUAGACUGGUCAAACCUCAGGGAAAGGUGGAGAGCGAGAAUGAUGGUGGACGUUGGUGGCAACGUCGCUAGGGGGCGCCUACGGUCAAUCGAUCUGGCCUUGGAGUAGGGAUGAUGAUGAUGAUGAUGAUGAUGAUGAUGAUGAUGAUGAUGAUGAUGAUGCACCGAUUAAAAAAUAAAGAAGAAGGGAGAUAAACGAUCAAAAAGAUACAAAUCGAAACGUAAUGGAAACAAAGAAGCAAACUCCAAACCUAGUCCCUCUCUUUGACUCAUCUUACCGACUAGUCUUACUUUCUCGAAACAAAACAAAAACAAAAAAAACCCGAAAAAGAACAAAAACAAAAAAACAAAAAAAACCCAAAAAAACAAAACAAAAAAACAAAAACAAAAACAAAAAAAACAAAAAACAAAAACGAAUAGCUAGUAGGAGUAGAGGGAGGGGUUGAUGAGGUACCCACAAGGCGUGCCCUCGUUUUGUAGUCGUCAGCACCCUUUUUGUUCCCACCCUUCUUUCUUCUCGUCUCCAAAGCAUUGCCCGCAUGCAAGCCUCAAAGCGCGAGGCGGCGAGGUGGAGGAGCGGGUCGGGGUCCGCCAUGCUGGCUGCAGCGGUGAGUAUUUGUGUAAGGCUCACCGACAGGCAGUGACAUUAUCGCCCAUUCACGCCAUAUUCUACAGGGACCGCAAAUCUGUGCUGAUCAAGGCGACUGCGGGGUACGCACCCAACUUACUCCAUUUCUCAUUACCCGAACCGCAGUGCCGCGACCCACUGCAAGAUGGUAUCGGGGGGGCAGGCACGCGGUUGCCGAUGCAAUGGAAUUAUUUGUGUUUCCUGCGAGGCUGUGAUAAAAGUUCAUAGCUGGCGACUGCUGCUGCUGUUUUCUGUUGGUGUCUGUUGCGUGGGCUUCACGAGAGGGAGGAGAGGGAGGAGAGAAAGAAAGUGAGAGCGGUAAGGAAUGGCGAGGAAGGAGUGAGGGGGUUGAGAGGGGUUCGUAAAGCUGUGAGUUGAGUGAAGGUGUUGAGAGCAGGGCGUCCUAAUGGAGCGAAGAUGAGCGAGGAGAGGAACCUGCUUCGGGACAAGCUCAUCGAAAAUGAAUAAAUGGAUGUUAUAUAUGUAUGUAUGCGCGCGCACACACACAAACACAGAACAUACAGUACGAUCACAUACUCGUGUCCCAUUUGCUCACAGAUUCGUGCCACACUCAUGCACACACACAUACAAACAUGCAGUAGGCACACACAUAUAAUUAUAAUCACACAGCAGGCACACACACAUAAUUAGACACAUAUACGUCAU